Molecule: ribosomal RNA, 253 nt
Filed under: uncultured bacterium
Lineage: Bacteria
Description: partial 16S ribosomal RNA
Rfam family: Bacterial small subunit ribosomal RNA
Source: RNAcentral
UACGUAGGGGGCAAGCGUUGUCCGGAAUCAUUGGGCGUAAAGAGCGUGUAGGCGGUCCGUUAAGUCGGCUGUGAAAGUCCAAGGCUCAACCUUGGGAUGCCGGUCGAUACUGCCGGACUAGAGUUCGGAAGAGGCGAGUGGAAUUCCCGGUGUAGCGGUGAAAUGCGCAGAUAUCAGGAGGAACACCGGUGGCGAAGGCGGGUCUCUGGGCCGAUACUGACGCUGAGGAGCGAAAGCGUGGGGAGCGAACAGG